Apus apus (common swift) is the source of this 3153-nucleotide RNA transcript. It is a transcript of the gene named cell growth regulator with ring finger domain 1, with no coding region annotated. The record is from RefSeq and is a predicted model, not a curated record. The transcript has 7 exons. Lineage: Eukaryota; Metazoa; Chordata; Aves; Apodiformes; Apodidae.
CGAGGCGGGCGGUGCGGCCUGAGUGACGCCGCCGUGGGGCGGCCUGGCCCCAUGGCCGCCGUGUUCCUCGUCACGCUCUACGAGUACUCGCCGCUCUUCUACAUCGCUGUGGUGUUCGUCUGCUUCCUCGUCACCAGCGGCCUGGUGCUGGGCUGGUUUGGGUUGGGUGUUCCUGUUAUUUUGAGAAACUCAGAAGAAACAGAAUCCAGCACAAGAAUCUUGAAAAAGCGGAUGAGACAAGUGAAGAAUCCUUUUGGGUUAGAAAUCCUUCACCCUGCUACAGCUUCAGUAACAAAGGGUGUAACACUGACACCAGAUUGUCUGGAAGACUGUGUUCUUACGUGCUACUGGGGCUGCAGUGUUCAAAAACUCCAGGAAGCGCUGCAGAAACAUGUCUACUGCUUCAGAAUAAAGACUCCUCAGGCCUUGGAGGAUGCUCUGUACAGCCAAUACCUCUAUCGACAGCAGUACUUCAUUAAAAAACAUGACAAGGAAGAAAAAUACUGUCAGUUACCAGAAGAUGCUCAAGUUGUUGAUUUUGGCCCAGUGCCCAGAUCUCGCUAUCCCUUGGUAGCACUGUUGACGUUAGCUGAUGAAGAGGACAGAGAAAUCUAUGACAUUAUUUCAAUGGUGGCUGUAAUUCACAUUCCUGAUGAGAGCUACAGACUUCCCUGCAGAAUAUUGUAUCAGUACCUACUUCUAGCUCAAGGUCAAUUCCACGAUCUGAAGGUGUGCACCCAUCCCCUGCUGCAGCUCAAGCCAAAGGGGUGAACAUGCUCUUCCUUCCAGCCCUCAUCCCCCAUCGGUGCCCCAAAAUGAUGCCAACAAAAUGUGGUGUGCACAGACCCAGAUGAAGUGUUCCAGGGACAGGAAUUCUCGUUUCUUCAGUGCAUAAGACAUCUGUGCCUUCUCCCCCAGCCUCACAUAGAUACAUGUGGGACAGGCCUUGGAAGGGCUUAUUUGUAUAAACUGCACAGCUCCACUUCACCACCCAAGGUAAGGAAAAACACUAGUCCUAGUGGCCAAUUCCCACAUCCCAGUGGCCAAUUCCCACCCUUUGUUUAGGAACAAAUGGAAGAGAUGUGGUGUGUAGUUAUCUCAGCCUGCCUGCCUGUGAUAUUUUCACUCCUACUUGGGGUUAAUGAGCUGGGAAAGCUGGGCCAUUGUGUGCUGGUGGAUACAGUCAUCCUUCCCUGGGCUAAAUAUGUUACCAGGAUGGUUUCCAGUGAGUUGAGCAACUGCUUCCUUCGAACUCAUGAACCAUCAAGAUUCACUCAUUUGCUCAGACCACCUGCUUGGCUGAUUUUACCACAGGCCUCUUGUUUUUGCUCCAAAGUGGUAAACAGAAGCGUUGACAGUCCCUAGAUGUUGCUGUGCUGAGCCACCCCGGCGGGCUGGCAGUGGAGGAAUUGCCAUGUAAAACAGAAUGAUCCCACUUCUCCACUUGCUCUGCCUGCAUGCAGAGCUGGCUGGGGUCUCUCUGCUCCCAGGACACAGAUGUUCCAUCUGCAGGGAAGAGCUGGCCGUGGAAUUGCUGAUGAGCCCCUCCAGCCGAUUAGCUCCAGAAAUGGAGAUUUGCUUCCAGCCAGCUUGAGAAGAUCCUCCUAUCCCACCGAUCUGCACAGCACCCAACCCUGCAAUGCGUGUGGGGCUGCAGCAGGUGUUCCUUCCCUGGGUCACAGGUAUGGUUUUUAAUUACCACAGAAACCUCCAACCAUCACAGCAUAUGCCCUUACGUCAGGAUCUCACUCCUCUUCAUCUGCUUCCUGGGGACACCCUGGGGAAUAGGUGCUUAUACUCGCCUGAGUGGCAGAUGAGUGUUUUUGGGUUUAUCAUCAGGUUUGCUCUUGAUGUCUCCUGGAGCACAGGCCACCUUCUGUGGCUUCGGUCCUUUACCCUGACGUGUUCAUGACUUGCUGCAUGGGGGGGACACCACCUCUCCCCGGCCUCAUGGAGUGCUGCUUUUGGUGCUUCAGCCCUCAGUAUUCUCCUGCCACUUGAGAUGUGCAAAAUGCAAAACCCAAGAGGUGGUGUCAUGGAGCUUCUCCUGACAUUAAUGAUGAUGGUCUAAUGAGCCUCCCUCCAUCUUCCCGUGCCAGACCUGCACACCAGUGGGGGUGGUUCCCUCCAUCUUCCCAUGCCAGACCUGCACACCAGUGGGAAUGGUUCCCUCCAUCUUCCCGUGCCAGGCCUGCACACCAGUGGGGCAGGUGGUGCAUCCUCACAGCUCCUUGGGUCAUCCCUCUGCACACCAGGAUGGUGGGAGGACUGUUGGCACCAAGGUGAGGGGAAAGAGGCUCUUUGAUGGACCAUUUCUUGGGAUGGAGCCGGAGGGUGAGACAGCUGGCUGGGAUUUGUUGGCAGGGAAUUCCAUUUGUUUAAUUAGUCACCAGCCCUACUGACAGCUAAAGCACCUUACGUGCAAACUCAUAAGCUGGGUGACAUGGACCAUUUGUGCUUGACUUACAGGAGCUGCUGGAAGCCACUUGGUGAUCCUCGUCUCAUGGUCCUACUGAGGGAUCUAUGCUCCUGCACAUGGGAUUGGGCAUUCCCAGUGGCUUUGGGCAGCUUUUAUGUUCCCACUACUUUUUUUUUUUUCCCAAAAAAAAAAAGGGGAUUCAGCCACAUGCAUCACUUUUUAAGCUGGAGGGGGCACCAACCUGGAGUUUGUCUUUCUCCAGCCCCCACCAGAGCACACAGACACUUUGGGGGAGCAGAUUCACCAAGGAAGGGGUUCAGCCCCGGGUUUGCCACCAUCCCAUCACAUCUCCCUCCCUCCCCAUCUCCCAACACCUGAGCGCAUCUCUUACCUGAGCUUCCCCAGCUGCGAAGCAAGGAGGGCAUUGCUGCAAUGGCCCCGGUGUCACUUGUCCCCUGAGGCACAGGACAGAGCCUGGACACCCUUUUGCUGCUCCAGGAGAAGGAACAACACACUUCACACCUUGAUUUUACGCUGCACGAAGCAGUCGAUUCUGCUCAGUAUUCGCUGACCUUCUGACUUUCUGCUUGAAAGAGUCCAGCGCAGAGCCACAAAGAUGAUGAAGGGAGUGGAACAUCUCCCUGAUGAGGAAAGGCUGAGGGAGCUGGGUCUCUUUAGUUUGGAGAAAAGGAGACUGAGGGGUGACCUCAUCAAUGUUUACAAAUACGUAAAGG